ACAAUAAUACCGAGGCCAGUGGCCAGCAAACCGCGGCUCUCGAGCCACAUGCGGCUCUUUGGCCUCUUGAGUGUGGCUCUUCCACAAAAUACCACGUGCGGGCUCCCACGUAUAGUGCGAUUAAAACUUCGUAGCCCAUGCCCAAAAGUCGCUUUUUGGCUUUCAAAAGACAUUUCAGUCGCUGUACUUUUGCUAUUUGGCUCUGUUGACUGAUGAGUUUGCCGACCACUGA
Long non-coding RNA from Pipistrellus kuhlii (Kuhl's pipistrelle), 232 nucleotides. RefSeq lists it as uncharacterized. NCBI's taxonomy places the organism in Eukaryota, Metazoa, Chordata, Mammalia, Chiroptera, Vespertilionidae. The record is from RefSeq and is a predicted model, not a curated record. The transcript has 3 exons.